GGAUUGUGGCUCAGUGGUAGAGCACUUGCCUAGCACGUGUGAGGCCCUGGGUUCCAUCCUCAGCACCA
This 68-nucleotide transfer RNA is filed under the name Marmota monax (woodchuck). RNAcentral's name for it is "tRNA.Ala". The stretch from base 5 to 65 matches the Rfam family "tRNA", at positions 6 to 65 of the family's 71-position model. Rfam says of the family: Transfer RNA (tRNA) molecules are approximately 80 nucleotides in length. Their secondary structure includes four short double-helical elements and three loops (D, anti-codon, and T loops). The record is from RNAcentral. Lineage: Eukaryota; Metazoa; Chordata; Mammalia; Rodentia; Sciuridae.